Asparagus officinalis (garden asparagus) is the source of this 179-nucleotide long non-coding RNA. RefSeq lists it as uncharacterized. The record is from RefSeq and is a predicted model, not a curated record. NCBI's taxonomy places the organism in Eukaryota, Viridiplantae, Streptophyta, Magnoliopsida, Asparagales, Asparagaceae. The transcript has 3 exons.
GUGGGAGCACCCUUUGAGAGUGAUUCAUUCACAGCGCCAGUCAUUGGGAUUAACCCAAUAUCGAUUCCCGGCAUAUCUAGCUUACCUCGGAGUGACGGACUUGCAGGACCAGCCACCGGGACUGAUACUCUUAUGACUCCUGGCAUUCCCCGGAUACCUGAGGAUGAUGGACCCACAGG